GACGUAGGGGGCAAGCGUUGUCCGGAAUCAUUGGGCGUAAAGCGCGUGUAGGCGGCCAGGUAAGUCCGUUCUGAAAGCCCGGGGCUCAACCCCGGGAGGCGGAUGGAUACUGCUUGGCUCGAGUCCGGAAGAGGCGAGUGGAAUUCCCGGUGUAGAGGUGAAAUGCGUAGAUAUCUGGAGGAACACCGGUGGCGAAGGCGGCAUUCUGGACCGAUAUUGACGCUGAGGAGCGAAAGCCAGGGGAGCAAACGGG
Molecule: ribosomal RNA, 253 nt
Filed under: uncultured bacterium
Lineage: Bacteria
Description: partial 16S ribosomal RNA
Rfam family: Bacterial small subunit ribosomal RNA
Source: RNAcentral